GAGGCAGCAGUGGGGAAUAUUGGACAAUGGGGGCAAGCCUGAUUCAGCCAUGCCGCGUGUGUGAAGAAGGCCUUCGGGUUGUAAAGCACUUUCAGCAUGGAAGAACGCCAGGAAAUUAAUACCUUCCAGAAGAAACAUCAGUCCCAGAAGAAGCACCGGCUAACUCCGUGCCAGCAGCCGCGGUAAUACUGAGGGUGCAAGCGUUAAUCGGAAUUACUGGGGGUAAAGCGCGCGUAGGGGGCUAGUUAAGCCGGUUGUGAAAGCCCCGGGCUCAACCUGGGAACGGCAUNGGGAACUGGUAGGCUAGAGUACAGGAGAGGAAGGUAGAAUUUCCGGUGUAGCGGUGAAAUGCGUAGAGAUCGGGAGGAAUACCAG
Molecule: ribosomal RNA, 375 nt
Filed under: uncultured Gammaproteobacteria bacterium
Lineage: Bacteria; Pseudomonadati; Pseudomonadota; Gammaproteobacteria
Description: bacterial SSU rRNA
Rfam family: Bacterial small subunit ribosomal RNA
Source: RNAcentral